This is a long non-coding RNA of Coffea arabica (coffee), 637 nucleotides long. RefSeq lists it as uncharacterized. NCBI's taxonomy places the organism in Eukaryota, Viridiplantae, Streptophyta, Magnoliopsida, Gentianales, Rubiaceae. The record is from RefSeq and is a predicted model, not a curated record.
UUCCUUUCCCCAGUUUUCUCUCGUUCCAUCUUCUUCCCUGCUUUGCUCUUGGCAGACUAGAACCUUCAUUGCAUCCCAGCAAGAAACCUUGACCCGUCUCUCUGCUACCAGGAUGAAUCCUGAAUUCUUCACCGCUUUUAUAACCUUCUCGUCUCUUAUUCCUGAUCUUCUCGCGAUUUGGUAUUUUACAGUUCUUCUGAUUGGCUCGGCUAGCCAUCUCCAAGCCCCGCUUUGCAUCAUGUCUGUGCCGAUAGUUAGGGAGGAACAGAACUCAAUUAUCCUAUCCAGUUCUACUGAAGUCCAACUUAUGAUCUGUGGUGGGAUGAUGAACGAGGGGGAUGUGGCCAUUACAGAAGAGAGCACUAACCAACUACCGGUCUGCUGCACACAAAAAAGAAAAGAUAAUAGACACGAUAAUUUCAUGAAUUCUUUCCAACUAUGGAUUUGAUGAAUUCUUUCAUAAUGAUUAGAUGAAGGUGGAUGGAUGGAUUUCGAGCAUUAAAUCCGGCUGCCGGGUUUAAACAGAGGUUCGCCGCUUGGGUUUUAAAACUGCUGUCUUACUUGUCAAAUUUGGUGAUAAGCUUUGUCUUUCAUACCUGUUCAUUAUAAUUUUCCUGCUUUUUCAGGGGUUUGACAA